Molecule: long non-coding RNA, 608 nt
Filed under: Nicotiana benthamiana
Lineage: Eukaryota; Viridiplantae; Streptophyta; Magnoliopsida; Solanales; Solanaceae
Description: long non-coding RNA (NBEN_LNC025360)
Source: RNAcentral
ACCACAAUUCUCUUUUAUUUUUCUGUAUAUAAUCCACUUUUCCUCAAAAAUCAUUUAAAAAAUAUUUUCUCGAUCUGCAAGAUACUCCACAAAUGACGAUGUUUAUUAUACCGAAUUUAUUUAUAUAUUUCUCAAGAUCCACUAAUUGAAGUCAAUCAAUCCAGAGAUCAUUUUUGAGGUUGAGUCAUAGAUGGAUAUAAUAAUGCAAAGUUAGAGAGUUAGGGAGAUUCACACCAAAAAAUCAUUGCAAUGUCGAAUUCAGGCGAUUGAGAAGGUUGUAAGAAAAUUAAAUGGAUAUGCACACCAAAUAUAAAUUGGCGUCCUAGUGGUGCUUCAGAUCAAGAUAUUAUGAGUAUUUAGUUUGUAGUUACUUACAAUUUAUUUGUAUAUAUUUACUUAAUGUUUUCCUUAAUUUUUUGUAAUAUUAAAUAUUACACAAGCAAAAGAUUUACUUAUGCAAGAUUCGAACUUAAUUUUUUUUUUAAAAAAAAAUUGAUAAUGUGCGGGCUAUAAUGAAGAAUUUUGAGAAGUUUAACGACGGCGAUGCUGGAAAAAGAAGAAGCAAGAAAGCCAGUCUAUACUAAUGUAUUAUCAGAGUCUGAGACUCC